UGAACACAAUUUUUGCAAUUU
This is a non-coding RNA of Caenorhabditis elegans, 21 nucleotides long. NCBI's taxonomy places the organism in Eukaryota, Metazoa, Nematoda, Chromadorea, Rhabditida, Rhabditidae. The record is from Ensembl.